CUCUUUAUCAAUGUCAUAUUUUCUAAUGUUCCUAAUCUGCAAGCGCAUUGCAUCCAUCUACAAACGCAUUGCGUCCAUCUUCAAUUGCAUUGCAUCCAUCUUGAUCUUGUGAUCAUCGACGACAUCGACAAUAUGCAACUCCAGUUCCAUAUUCUUCUCCUCAAUUAUUUUCAAUUUUUAUUCAAGUAAUUGUUUUCCUUUUCAACUAAAUUUAACGUCUCGACAAGAGGCUGAGUUGGAAUUUCCGAUUCACAUACAUCCUAGAUAAAAACGUCCAUGUCACGUUGGUCGGCAUAAUUGUCAUAAACACUAAAUGAAAGAAAUAGUUAUAAAAUAAAAUAUACCACGUCCGAAUCAUAGGCCGGACGAGGCCGACGUGGGCGGAUCCCAAAACCAGCGCAAUAUAUAGUAACAAAAAAUAAUAAAAGUAAGUAAUUUAUUCAAGUAUCUAUCUAAAUUAUACAAGUAAGAAUUUUUUUUCUUUUAAAAAGAAGAUAAGAACAAGAGGCUCGCCACGGUGGUGCCGGCGACGAGAUCGGCGCGGGCGAUCGACGAGGGUGAGGACGGGCACGGGACGACACCCUACACAUGUGCAGACUCUAAGAAGUUAAUU
This 613-nucleotide long non-coding RNA is filed under the name Hordeum vulgare. RNAcentral describes it as "long non-coding RNA (HVUL_LNC009339)". Lineage: Eukaryota; Viridiplantae; Streptophyta; Magnoliopsida; Poales; Poaceae. The record is from RNAcentral.